Molecule: ribosomal RNA, 500 nt
Filed under: uncultured SAR324 cluster bacterium
Lineage: Bacteria; Deltaproteobacteria
Description: bacterial SSU rRNA
Rfam family: Bacterial small subunit ribosomal RNA
Source: RNAcentral
AACAUGUGGUUUAAUUCGACGCAACGCGAAGAACCUUACCUGGGUUUGACAUCCCCGGCCGACACCAGAGAUGGUGUUUUCUCUUCGGAGACCGGGUGACAGGUGCUGCAUGGCUGUCGUCAGCUCGUGUCGUGAGAUGUUGGGUUAAGUCCCGCAACGAGCGCAACCCUUGCCCUCAGUUGCCAGCAGUUCGGCUGGGCACUCUGGGGGGACUGCCGGUGACAAGCCGGAGGAAGGUGGGGAUGACGUCAAGUCCUCAUGGCCUUUAUAUCCAGGGCUACACACGUGUUACAAUGGGGGUCACAAAGGGCAGCGAAACGGUGACGUGGAGCGAAUCCCAAAAACCGUCUCAGUUCGGAUUGUACUCUGCAACUCGAGUGCAUGAAGUUGGAAUCGCUAGUAAUCGUGGAUCAGCAUGCCGCGGUGAAUACGCUCCCGGGCCUUGUACACACCGCCCGUCACACCUAUGGGUAGUUGGUUUUACCCGUAAGGCGGUGCGC